RNAcentral lists this ribosomal RNA (424 nucleotides) under uncultured bacterium. RNAcentral describes it as "bacterial SSU rRNA". It matches the Rfam family "Bacterial small subunit ribosomal RNA", at positions 359 to 775 of the family's 1533-position model. The record is from RNAcentral.
GAAUUUUGGACAAUGGGCGCAAGCCUGAUCCAGCCAUUCCGCGUGCAGGAUGAAGGCCCUCGGGUUGUAAACUGCUUUUGUACGGAACGAAAAGGUUUCCUCUAAUACAGGAAGCUCAUGACGGUACCGUAAGAAUAAGCACCGGCUAACUACGUUCCAGCAGCCGCGGUAAUACGUAGGGUGCAAGCGUUAAUCGGAAUUACUGGGCGUAAAGCGUGCGCAGGCGGUGAUGUAAGACAGGUGUGAAAUCCCCGGGCUUAACCUGGGAACUGCAUUUGUGACUGCAUUGCUGGAGUGCGGCAGAGGGGGAUGGAAUUCCGCGUGUAGCAGUGAAAUGCGUAGAUAUGCGGAGGAACACCGAUGGCGAAGGCAAUCCCCUGGGCCUGCACUGACACUGAGGCACGAAAGCGUGGGGAGCAAACAG